CCAACUUCCAAGAGUGAAAAUCUGUCACGAUCCUUGGCUCCACGAUGAGCUUUGUCCCUUUUCCUCCAUUGAGGAGCUUGUGCUUCUCCUCCUCAGAAUCUUCCAUGGAACCCUAGCUGAGCUCUUCAAUCCUUUGUUUUGGUGGAAGCUCAGCUCAUCUCUCCCAUCUUCAACGACUGUUUGAAUUUUUGGCUAGAUAAAGGUCAGGAGUUGGAAACUCGACAAGCUGGUUGUUUUGUUCAUGGUGUCUUCAGUUAUCGCCGCCGCAUGCAGUCGCUUAUUGGUUGAAACAAUCUUCUCCUUCGCAAUCGAGACACAAGGAAUCUUAUGUGUAUCAAUGAGGCAGCAUUGUCACGACCAAGACACACAAUCAAGGAAUCUUAAUUUUGUUGUUGGUGUGGGGUGUUGCAUAUGUGUGUUAUCUUAAAUAGUCAAUAUACUCAACAAAUUCUUCAAUAACUGAAUGAGGUCCUUCUACUGUCUUCAAGUUUCUUUAAUAACAGCGCAUCUGGUCUCGAAAGAUUACAGGCCCUGUGUAUUCUUGAGUGCCAUAGGGAGAGUAACUUGUUUCGUACUCCACAAGUUUGACAAAUCUGGAGUAUUUAAAUCUGGAUUCAUGCAAGAUAGGUGAUGAUGGGCUUGCUAAUUUUACAGCUGAGUGGUGUUAAUUUGGUGAUUACUUGCUUUUCAAUGACAGAGGAAUGGAUAUCAUAGGUCAAAACAAGGAGAGGAUUCUUCUUACCAUUUUUGUACUUUUGUCUAGUUUUUCCUCCCUCUUUUGGAUUGCCAACGUUUAUAUGUGGUCUAAAAUAAAUCUUGUAAGCUAUAUGCAAGACCAUGCGAAAACUAAGAUGAAGAGUUCUGGAAUGCCUUGGCCGGGUGAUGAAGGCGAACAAUGCUGGGAACAAGCAUGGAAAGCUAUAAAAAGCAAGUGGAGGUACAACUUCUGGGACCGGAAGCUUGGAUAAUCCCAAAGAAAAUGCAACGGAUCGUUCCUCCUAAAGUAGCUUUGUUUCUAUGGCAAACUUCUGCAAACAAAAUUGCGGUUAAACAUAAUCUAAUGGCUCGAGGGGUUGUAAUUGAGAACGAAGGUUUAUGUAGCAGCUGUGGGAUUGUAAUCGAGACAACGGGUCACCUUAUGCUGUCAUGUACAUAUUCAUGGAAGCUGUGGUAUGCUGUCAUGUCAAGGGAAGGUGUGCUAUGGUGCUGUCCAGAACAAGUUAAAGAUCUGCUAAUGGAAUGGCCUUUUUUGCAAUCCAAUUCUGAUUCAAUUCUCUGGGAUCUAAUUCCGUAUUCGCUGUGCUGGUCCCUGUGGAUUGUGCGGAAUAAUGUUAUUUUUCAGAAUGCUCAAUCCUCAAUGGAAUCCACAUGGGAUUUGCAUAUUGUGAGAAUCAUGGGAUGGAUGAAGGCAUGGUAGAAAGAAUGCCCGUACUCAGCUGUGGAUUUCUCUUGCAACUUCGCUGACUUGAGGGUGAAUAAAUCUCUGAUUAGAGUAAGGCCAAAAAUCUGGUUUCCACCACCGACGGGCUUGAUCAAGUUUAACGUUGAUGGCUCAUCCCAAGGGAAUCCGGGCAAGAGUGGAAUCGGUGGGAUUCUGAGAGACUUGAGCAGGAUACAUAGAGGUUACUUUUCCUUGGCUGUAGGGGAAUUAUGGGCCUUUGAGGCGGAGGUCAAAGGAAUUCUAGCAGCUCUAAAGUUUUGUAAAGAAUUUCAGCUCAAACAUCUGUUAAUUGAAAGCGAUUCUGCACUGGCAGUUGGGUGGGUUUCUAAUAAAGAACAUCGUCCAUGAAAAUUAUUAAAUGACUUAGUGCUGAUUUAUAUGUUGAUGGAAGAUGUGGAUUGUGUGGGAGUAUUUCACUUUUAUAGGGAAUCUAAUCAGCUCGCGGACUACCUAGCAAAAACUGGAUGCAAUAGAACAAUGCCAAUCUGGUCUUUUCUUUGAAUGAUAUUUUAUAUCUGCUGUGUCAAAAUGAGGUACGUGCACCCACUGCAUAAUAGCUUUUGUAUCUUCUCUUAAUGCUUGAAUGGUCUAUGGUUUUCUCCUAAUGCAAUUUACUCAAUGAGCUUCAAACUUCGGUUUAUCUUGAAUUUGAAGUUGCUUUUCUUGCUGGUAAGUAUCCAUCAAUUAGAAAAUUAAUUCUCUCAGGUAGGUCUUCUUUACUUUAAAAUCUGUAUAUAUAGACUGAUAUAUGUUUUUUUUUUUUCAUUAAGUUUCCAUUUCUUUGUUACCUUCACCGUUUAUAUUUCACCCUCUCUUAACUUUUAUUUUAUAAAAGUGAUUGUGAUCUGUUUCAUUUUUCUAUUUGCUAUAGCUACCUGGAUAUGCUACCUGGAUAUGAUCUUUAAGUUUUGUCUCUUCAUCCCUCUAUCUAAAGGCAUAAUUUUUAGGUUCAUCUUAAUUGGUCCCCAGUUGUAAACUUGCUUCAAUAGCAACACUUUGAUUGGUAAAUCUUGCCACUUGGAUCUAUUGUCUAAGCUUACUGUUAACGUA
This is a long non-coding RNA of Lotus japonicus, 2491 nucleotides long. RefSeq lists it as uncharacterized. Lineage: Eukaryota; Viridiplantae; Streptophyta; Magnoliopsida; Fabales; Fabaceae. The record is from RefSeq and is a predicted model, not a curated record. The transcript is spliced from 6 exons.